This 621-nucleotide ribosomal RNA is filed under the name Centaurium erythraea. Its description in RNAcentral is "eukaryotic LSU rRNA". The stretch from base 236 to 391 matches the Rfam family "5.8S ribosomal RNA". Lineage: Eukaryota; Viridiplantae; Streptophyta; Magnoliopsida; Gentianales; Gentianaceae. The record is from RNAcentral.
UCGAAUCCUGCGAAGCAGACGACCCGUGAACAUGUUUUUCUUCGCACGGGCAUCGGACCUGGGAAACCACGGGCCGGUGCCCGCGCACGGCGUCGGCCUUGGUCGUUCGUCGUGUUAAACCCUAAACCCGGCGCUGCAAAGCGCCAAGGAAAACCAGAAAUGGACAGCCCGCCCUCUCGACGCCCCGUACGCGGUGUGCUCGAGAGGAUCGCGUGCGCCUGUUGUAACCAAAUACGACUCUCGGCAACGGAUAUCUCGGCUCUCGCAUCGAUGAAGAACGUAGCGAACUGCGAUACUUGGUGUGAAUUGCAGAAUCCCGUGAACCAUCGAGUCUUUGAACGCAAGUUGCGCCCGAAGCCAUUAGGCCAAGGGCACGUCUGCCUGGGCGUCACGCAUCGCGUCGCCCCCAACACCCCGUGCACCGUAUGGUACAGGUGGUGGCUAGGGGCGGAGACUGGCCUCCCGUGCCCGUGCGCGGCUGGCCUAAAUGCGAGUCACUCGCGACGGACGCGACAACAAGUGGUGGUUGAUUACCUCAACUCUAGUGCUGUCGUUGCGGCCCCGUCGAAGGAGGAGACUGACCCGACCCUGUAGCACGUGUCGUCACGACGCAUGCCACGA